CCUACGGGAGGCAGCAGUGGGGAAUAUUGGACAAUGGGGGGAACCCUGAUCCAGCCAUGCCGCGUGUGUGAAGAAGGCCCUCGGGUUGUAAAGCACUUUCAGUGAGGAAGAACGCCUGGUGGUUAAUACCCAUCAGGAAAGACAUCACUCACAGAAGAAGCACCGGCUAACUCCGUGCCAGCAGCCGCGGUAAUACGGAGGGUGCGAGCGUUACUCGGAAUUACUGGGCGUAAAGCGCGCGUAGGUGGCUUGAUAAGCCGGUUGUGAAAGCCCCGGGCUCAACCUGGGAACGGCAUCCGGAACUGUCAAGCUAGAGUGCAGGAGAGGAAGGUGGAAUUCCCGGUGUAGCGGUGAAAUGCGUAGAGAUCGGGAGGAAUACCAGUGGCGAAGGCGGCCUUCUGGACUGACACUGACACUGAGGUGCGAAAGCGUGGGUAGCAAACAGGAUUAGAUACCCUGGUAGUC
Molecule: ribosomal RNA, 465 nt
Filed under: Vreelandella stevensii
Lineage: Bacteria; Pseudomonadati; Pseudomonadota; Gammaproteobacteria; Oceanospirillales; Halomonadaceae
Description: partial 16S ribosomal RNA
Rfam family: Bacterial small subunit ribosomal RNA
Source: RNAcentral